RNAcentral lists this ribosomal RNA (492 nucleotides) under uncultured bacterium. Its description in RNAcentral is "partial 16S ribosomal RNA". It matches the Rfam family "Bacterial small subunit ribosomal RNA", at positions 29 to 507 of the family's 1533-position model. The record is from RNAcentral.
AGUGAACGCUGGCGGUAGGCCUAACACAUGCAAGUCGAACGGCAGCACAGUAAGAGCUUGCUCUUACGGGUGGCGAGUGGCGGACGGGUGAGGAAUUCAUCGGAAUCUACUUUUUCGUGGGGGAUAACGUAGGGAAGCUUACGCUAAUACCGCAUACGACCUACGGGUGAAAGCAGGGGAUCUUCGGACCUUGCGCGAUUGAAUGAGCCGAUGUCGGAUUAGCUAGUUGGCGGGGUAAAGGCCCACCAAGGCGACGAUCCGUAGCUGGUCUGAGAGGAUGAUCAGCCACACUGGAACUGAGACACGGUCCAGACUCCUACGGGAGGCAGCAGUGGGGAAUAUUGGACAAUGGGCGCAAGCCUGAUCCAGCCAUACCGCGUGGGUGAAGAAGGCCUUCGGGUUGUAAAGCCCUUUUGUUGGGAAAGAAAAGCAGCAGGUUAAUACCCCGCUGUUCUGACGGUACCCAAAGAAUAAGCACCGGCUAACUUCGUG